This 148-nucleotide non-coding RNA is filed under the name Homo sapiens (human). The record is from Rfam by way of RNAcentral. Lineage: Eukaryota; Metazoa; Chordata; Mammalia; Primates; Hominidae.
GCUGGGUGCAGUGGCUUGCGUCUGUAAUCCCAGCCACUCAGGAGGCUCAGGUGGGAGGAUUGCUUGAGCCCAGGAGUUUGAGGCUGCAGUGAGCUAUGGUUGUGCCACUGCACUCUACCCUGGGUGACAGAGCAAGACCCUGUCUCUA